RNAcentral lists this ribosomal RNA (119 nucleotides) under Pteropus vampyrus (large flying fox). The record is from RNAcentral. Lineage: Eukaryota; Metazoa; Chordata; Mammalia; Chiroptera; Pteropodidae.
AUCUAUGGCCAUGCUAUCCUGAACAAGCCUGAUCCCAUCUGAUCUUGGAAGCCAAGAAGGGUCGGGCCUGAUUAGUACUGGAAUGGGAGACAACUUAGGAAGACCAGGUGCUGUAGGCG